AUUGAACGCUGGCGGCAGGCCUAACACAUGCAAGUCGAGCGGUAACACAGGAAGCUUGCUCCCGGGUGACGAGCGGCGGACGGGUGAGUAAUGUCUGGGAAACUGCCUGAUGGAGGGGGAUAACUACUGGAAACGGUAGCUAAUACCGCAUAACGUCGCAAGACCAAAGAGGGGGACCUUCGGGCCUCUUGCCCUCAGAUGUGCCCAGAUGGGAUUAGCUAGUAGGUGGGGUAAUGGCUCACCUAGGCGACGAUCCCUAGCUGGUCUGAGAGGACGACCAGCCACACUGGAACUGAGACACGGUCCAGACUCCUACGGGAGGCAGCAGUGGGGAAUAUUGCACAAUGGGCGCAAGCCUGAUGCAGCCAUGCCGCGUGUAUGAAGAAGGCCUUCGGGUUGUAAAGUACUUUCAGCGGGGAGGAAGGUGUUGAGGUUAAUAACCUCAGCAAUUGACGUUACCCGCAGAAGAAGCACCGGCUAACUCCGUGCCAGCCGCCGCCGUAA
RNAcentral lists this ribosomal RNA (504 nucleotides) under uncultured bacterium. RNAcentral's name for it is "partial 16S ribosomal RNA". It matches the Rfam family "Bacterial small subunit ribosomal RNA", at positions 30 to 523 of the family's 1533-position model. The record is from RNAcentral.